GAGAAUUAGCUCAGUUGGUUAGAGCACUUGCCUGUUAAGCAAGGGGUCACUGGUUCAAGACCAGUAUUCUCC
This 72-nucleotide transfer RNA is filed under the name uncultured Treponema sp. It matches the Rfam family "tRNA". From Rfam's summary of the family: Transfer RNA (tRNA) molecules are approximately 80 nucleotides in length. Their secondary structure includes four short double-helical elements and three loops (D, anti-codon, and T loops). Lineage: Bacteria; Pseudomonadati; Spirochaetota; Spirochaetia; Treponematales; Treponemataceae. The record is from RNAcentral.